This 375-nucleotide ribosomal RNA is filed under the name Staphylococcus aureus. RNAcentral describes it as "partial 23S ribosomal RNA". It matches the Rfam family "Bacterial large subunit ribosomal RNA", at positions 310 to 685 of the family's 2925-position model. The record is from RNAcentral. Lineage: Bacteria; Bacillati; Bacillota; Bacilli; Caryophanales; Staphylococcaceae.
UACGGAGUUACAAAGGACGACAUUAGACGAAUCAUCUGGAAAGAUGAAUCAAAGAAGGUAAUAAUCCUGUAGUCGAAAAUGUUGUCUCUCUUGAGUGGAUCCUGAGUACGACGGAGCACGUGAAAUUCCGUCGGAAUCUGGGAGGACCAUCUCCUAAGGCUAAAUACUCUCUAGUGACCGAUAGUGAACCAGUACCGUGAGGGAAAGGUGAAAAGCACCCCGGAAGGGGAGUGAAAUAGAACCUGAAACCGUGUGCUUACAAGUAGUCAGAGCCCGUUAAUGGGUGAUGGCGUGCCUUUUGUAGAAUGAACCGGCGAGUUACGAUUUGAUGCAAGGUUAAGCAGUAAAUGUGGAGCCGUAGCGAAAGCGAGUCUG